Non-coding RNA from Heterocephalus glaber (naked mole-rat), 1455 nucleotides. Lineage: Eukaryota; Metazoa; Chordata; Mammalia; Rodentia; Bathyergidae. The record is from RefSeq and is a predicted model, not a curated record.
GGCAUUCUCACUCCUUGUGGGUCUUCCUACCCUGGGGGCAGCCUGCUUCCUUUACUCCCUUAAGAACCAUCUUUUCUGAAGGCUCCAAGCCAGCUAGUCCCCCAUCCUGUCCUCCUACCCUCCUUUGAACAAAGCUGGAUGAUUGGAAAUGCCUUCUCUCUACCUAAGAGCUUGAUUCCUUUAAAUAGCUCCCCAACUUCCUGGUUCCUUCAGGAAGGCAUUCUGGAUUGAAAAAGCAACUUAGGAGCUGGAAUGUAGCCCCCAUCCCAGUUAGGCCUGCUUCAAAACUACAUGCAGUUGCAAAACCCCAUGGUCUAGUUCCAAACUGGCUUCAUACUUCAGUGCUGCUGAGUGGAGCUUGGCUCGUGCUUUUUCGUUUUGUCUCUGCUGCCGGAAUCCCACCCUCCUGUGGAGUGUCCCCUGCCCACACACACGCAGACUCUAGCUCUAGGCAGCCUCACUCUCCUCGGACACUUUCUCACUUCUUCACAGCACAGACCACUUCCUGCCUAGUCCUGGAAUGAGCACAGAUGUCUUUGCUCCUCAGCGAGCCUAUCAACUAGAAAGCCACCAUGAAGCCUCAAUCUUGGGAGCACAGUUUCUUGCCCAGAGACUGCCUGGCAAGUUGCUCCUAAAACAGAAUCAAACUGUUUGAGGGAGUCCUGAGGUUCCUGGAAGCAGUACCUCCCAGGGGUUAAGUUCAAAUCCUGGCUCUGUUGCUCUUUUACUUUACGGGCUUUGUGUGGACUACUUACAUUUAAGUGCUUCAGUUUCUUCAUAUGUGAGUUUCAGGAUCACAGGAUUUUUGUGAGCAUUAAGUGACUUAUAACGCUGAAGGAAUAAGAAAAAUGCCUUUAUACACCAAGUGCUCGGCAUAAUAUCACUACGGACAGUCAUGCUGGACACUCCUGGAACAUCUCUGUUCCUACCUCAGCCUCCAGUGGGGAAACAGAAACAGUUCCUGGGUCAUCUUUCCAGUCUGCACCCUUAUCUCUGCUGGUCAGAAGGAAGUGAAGACCCCAGUUCACUGAACAAGAUGAAACUGAACCCAAGAGGCUCUGUUUUCCUGCUUGCCAGGCCCUAGAAGAGCCAGUGUGGAGGAAGGUCUUAUUCAAAAAAAAAAAAAAAAGAAGAAGAAGAAAGAGGAGGAGCAGGAAAAGGAACAGGAGGGAGAGGAGAAGGAGAAGAAGAACAAGAGGACCAAGGGAGAAACGAUGGCAUUGAGCUUGGAUAACUGUCUGACCUCAAAGAGAAGAAACCUGUGAAAGGCACUAGCUAAAUCUGGAAGGAUCCAGAGAACAAUUUGAGGUCAUGGAUGCAAAUUCCCAGAAGAUAGAAUCUUGGCUCAACAUAAAAAAAGAUCUUUCUAGUAAUGAAAGCUUUCCAGGAAAAUAAGGUAGUGAGCCCUCUGUCACUUGGAGUGAGUAAAUAGAACACCCACCUGCCUGUGAUGCU